AAAUGCUACUAAGGGCAUACGGUGGAUGCCUUGGCGUUGAGAGGCGAUGAAGGACGUGGCAAGCUGCGAAAAGCUUCGGGUAGUGGCACACACACAAUAAUCCGAAGAUAUCCGAAUGGGACAACCUGAUAUUUUGAAGAAAUAUCACCCACCGCAAGGUGAGGAGCUAACCUGGAGAACUGAAACAUCUAAGUACCCAGAGGAAAAGAAAAUAAAAAUGAUUCCCUAAGUAGUGGCGAGCGAACGGGGAAGAGCCCAAACCAGAAUAGCGUGCUGUUCUGGGGUUAUAGGACUAAAAUAUUGAAACUAAAGGAAGUAGAAUCAUUUUGGAAAGAAGAGCCGAAGAAGGUGAAAGCCCUGUACAUAUAAAAUUUAGUAACAUAUUAGUAUCCUGAGUAGCGCGGGACUGGAGAAAUCUUGCGUGAAUUUGCCGGCACCAUCCGGUAAGGCUAAAUACUCCUCAACGACCGAUAGUGAACAAGUACCGUAAGGGAAAGGUGAAAAGAACCCUGAAUAAGGGAGUGAAAUAGUACCUGAAACCGUAUGCCUACAAGCGGUAGGAGCUUAAUUUAUUAAGUGACUGCGUGCCUUUUGCAUAAUGAACCUACGAGUUAUUACUUACUGGCAAGGUUAAGAUUGAAAAUCGGAGCCGAAGCGAAAGCGAGUCCGAAUAGGGCUAUAGUCAGUAGGUAUAGACGCGAAACUUAGUGAUCUAUCCAUGAGCAGGAUGAAGGUGUGGUAACACACACUGGAGGUCCGAACCCAUUAACGUUGAAAAGUUAUGGGAUGACUUGUGGAUAGGGGUGAAAGGCCAAUCAAACUGAGAGAUAGCUCGUUCUCCCCGAAAUGUUUUUAGGAACAGCGUCAGUAAAUUUGUAUUAUAGAGGUAGAGCUACUGAUUGGGCUAGGGGGUUUCACGACCUACCAAACCCUGACAAACUCCGAAUGCUAUAAUAUCAAGCUGGCAGUGAGGCUGUGGGCGCUAAGGUCCAUGGCCGAGAGGGAAAUAACCCAGACUAUCAGCUAAGGUCCCCAAAUCUAUGUUAAGUUGAACUAACGAAGUUUAAAUCCUAAGACAGCCAGGAUGUUGGCUUGGAAGCAGCCAUUCAUUUAAAGAGUGCGUAACAGCUCACUGGUCGAGGGUAUAAGCGCGGAAAAUAAUCGGGCAUAAAACAUAGUACCGAAGCUAUAGAUUGUACUUUAGUACAGUGGUAGGGGAGCAUUCUGACAGCGUUGAAGGUGUAUCGUGAGGUAUGCUGGAGCGGUUAGAAGCGAAAAUGUAGGUAUAAGUAACGAUAAAUAAGGUGAAAAACCUUAUCGCCGAAAAUCUAAGGGUUCCUGAUCAACGUUAAUCGGAUCAGGGUUAGUCGGGACCUUAGGAGCACCCGAAAGGGGAAUCUGAUGGAAAACCAGUAAUAUUCUGGUACCUGUAUUAAUAUCGAUGGGGUGACGGAGAAGUGAAAUCACUACGAUGCUGACGGAAUAGCACGUAUAAGUAUGUAGUUAUAUUUUGUAUAGGCAAAUCCGUACGAGAUGACGAAAUACGAAAGUAUAUCUUGACUACGGUCAGGAGGAAGUGAGUAAUAGCUCCCAAGAAAAACCUCUAAGGUUAGGUUAAUACAGCCCGUACCGCAAACCGACACAGGUAGAUGGGAUGAGUAUUCUAAGGCGCUUGGGUGAGCCGUGGAGAAGGAACUAGGCAAAUUUUGUCUGUAACUUCGGGAUAAAGACAUCCCGACAGCGAUGUCGGGACUCAGUGAAAAGGUUCAACCAACUGUUUAGCAAAAACACAGGGCUCUGCAAAAACGUAAGUUGACGUAUAGGGCCUGAAACCUGCCCGGUGCUGGAAGGUUAAGGAAGCUUGUUAGGGUUAAACCGAAGCUUGUGACCGAAGCCCCAGUAAACGGCGGCCGUAACUAUAACGGUCCUAAGGUAGCGAAAUUCCUUGUCGGGUAAGUUCCGACCUGCACGAAUGGCGUAACGAUGGCCACACUGUCUCCUCCUGAGACUCAGCGAAGUUGAAAUGUUUGUGAAGAUGCAAUCUCCCCGCGGCAAGACGGAAAGACCCCAUGAACCUUUACUGUAGCUUUGCAUUGGACUUUGAACCGGUCUGUGUAGGAUAGGUGGGAGGCUGUGAAACCGGGACGCUAGUUUCGGUGGAGCCAACCUUGAAAUACCACCCUGGUUUGUUUGAGGUUCUAACCUUGAUCCGUGAAUCCGGAUCGGGGACCGUGCAUGGUGGGCAGUUUGACUGGGGCGGUCUCCUCCCAAAAGGUAACGGAGGAGUACGAAGGUACGCUUAGGGCGGUCGGACAUCGCCCAUAAAGUGCAAUGGCAAAAGCGUGCUUGACUGCGAGACCCACAAGUCGAGCAGGUGCGAAAGCAGGUCAUAGUGAUCCGGUGGUUCUGUAUGGAAGGGCCAUCGCUCAACGGAUAAAAGGUACUCUGGGGAUAACAGGCUGAUACCGCCCAAGAGUUCAUAUCGACGGCGGUGUUUGGCACCUCGAUGUCGGCUCAUCACAUCCUGGGGCUGUAGCCGGUCCCAAGGGUAUGGCUGUUCGCCAUUUAAAGUGGUACGUGAGCUGGGUUUAAAACGUCGUGAGACAGUUUGGUCCCUAUCUGCCGUGGGCGCUG
RNAcentral lists this ribosomal RNA (2634 nucleotides) under Ephemera danica. RNAcentral's name for it is "bacterial LSU rRNA". It matches the Rfam family "Bacterial large subunit ribosomal RNA". The record is from RNAcentral. Lineage: Eukaryota; Metazoa; Arthropoda; Insecta; Ephemeroptera; Ephemeridae.